RNAcentral lists this ribosomal RNA (463 nucleotides) under uncultured bacterium. Its description in RNAcentral is "partial 16S ribosomal RNA". It matches the Rfam family "Bacterial small subunit ribosomal RNA", at positions 28 to 507 of the family's 1533-position model. The record is from RNAcentral.
GAUGAACGCUGACAGAAUGCUUAACACAUGCAAGUCUUUCGCAAAGCUGUGCUUGCUCAGCCUAUCAAAGGCGGACGGGUGAGUAACGCGUAAGGAACUUGCCCUGCAUUCAGGGAUAACAGACGGUAACGACUGCUAAGACCUGGUAAAGUCAGGUGGACUCAUGUACAGUCCGAUGAUAAGUGAUGCUGUUGGAGAGCCUUGCGUCCUAUUAGCUUGUUGGUGGGGUAAUGGCCCACCAAGGGGAUGAUAGGUAGCCGGCGUGAGAGGGUGGACGGCCACAAGGGGACUGAGAUACGGCCGUUACUCCUACGGGAGGCAGCAGUGGGGAAUAUUGGACAAUGGGGGCAACACUGAUCCAGCAAUUCUGUGUGCACGAUGAAGGUUUUCGGAUUGUAAAGUGCUUUCAGCAGGGAAGAAAAAAAUGACGGUACCUGCAGAAGAAGCGACGGCUAAAUACGUG